Molecule: ribosomal RNA, 305 nt
Filed under: uncultured bacterium
Lineage: Bacteria
Description: bacterial SSU rRNA
Rfam family: Bacterial small subunit ribosomal RNA
Source: RNAcentral
CCCUACGGGAGGCAGCAGUGAGGAAUAUUGGUCAAUGGCCGGAAGGCUGAACCAGCCAAGUCGCGUGAGGGAAUAAGGCCCUAUGGGUCGUAAACCUCUUUUGUCAGGGAGCAAAGGCGGCCACGAGUGGACGAAAGGAGAGUACCUGAAGAAAAAGCAUCGGCUAACUCCGUGCCAGCAGCCGCGGUAAUACGGAGGAUGCGAGCGUUAUCCGGAUUUAUUGGGUUUAAAGGGUGCGUAGGCGGAGUGUCAAGUCGGCGGGAAAAUUUCGGGGCUCAGCCCCGGCGAGCCGUUGAAACUGCAAC